RNAcentral lists this long non-coding RNA (39249 nucleotides) under Hordeum vulgare. RNAcentral's name for it is "long non-coding RNA (HVUL_LNC007876)". Lineage: Eukaryota; Viridiplantae; Streptophyta; Magnoliopsida; Poales; Poaceae. The record is from RNAcentral.
UCAACAUCUCUAACAAUCCCAAGUGGUGUGAUGGUGUCUCUAUUAGCAAGUUUAAUAGUAACAUUUAUGUCUUCCAUUUCAUCGGGUGCUAUAUCAUGAAUAAUUUCUUGAUAUAAGGUAAAAGGAAUACCACUAGCACAAGCACCUAUAUCACAUAAACCAUGAUAACAAUGAUCUCCUAUUUUGACUGAGACGACAUGCAUGCCAACAACGGGUUUAUUUUUAUAUUUAGUAUCAGGUUUGGCAAUUCUAGCAGGUUCAUCAUAGAAAUAAAUAGCAUGCCCAUCAAUAUUAUCGACCAAGAGAUCUUUAACCAUAGCAAUACUAGGUUCUACGUUGAUUUGUUCAAAGGGUUUGGUUGUUCUAACAUAACUUUUGUCAACCACGGUUGAAGUUUUAGCAUGUUCCUUUAUCCUAACACGGAAAGGUGGUUUCUCAAUAUAUGCAGUAGGCACAACUGGGUCAACAUUGUAAAUGAUGUUGGAAUUAUGCCCUAGAGGCAAUAAUAAAUAUAGUUAUUAUUAUAAUUCCUGUAUCAAGAUAAUAGUUUAUUAUCCAUGCUAUAAUUGUAUUGAAUGAAGACUCAUUUACAUGUGUGGAUACAUAGACAAAACACUAUCCCUAGCAUGCCUCUAGUUGGCUAGCCAGUUGAUCAAAGAUAGUCAGUGUCUUCUUAUUAUGAACAAGGUGUUGUUGCUUGAUAACUGGAUCACGUCAUUAGGAGAAUCACGUGAUGGACUAGACCCAAACUAAUAGACGUAGCAUGUUGAUCGUGUCAUUUUGUUGCUACUGUUUUCUGCGUGUCAAGUAUUUAUUCCUAUGACCAUGAGAUCAUAUAACUCACUGACACCGGAGGAAUGCUUUGUGUGUAUCAAACGUCGCAACGUAACUGGGUGACUNNNNNNNNNNNNNNNNNNNNNNNNNNNNNNNNNNNNNNNNNNNNNNNNNNNNNNNNNNNNNNNNNNNNNNNNNNNNNNNNNNNNNNNNNNNNNNNNNNNNNNNNNNNNNNNNNNNNNNNNNNNNNNNNNNNNNNNNNNNNNNNNNNNNNNNNNNNNNNNNNNNNNNNNNNNNNNNNNNNNNNNNNNNNNNNNNNNNNNNNNNNNNNNNNNNNNNNNNNNNNNNNNNNNNNNNNNNNNNNNNNNNNNNNNNNNNNNNNNNNNNNNNNNNNNNNNNNNNNNNNNNNNNNNNNNNNNNNNNNNNNNNNNNNNNNNNNNNNNNNNNNNNNNNNNNNNNNNNNNNNNNNNNNNNNNNNNNNNNNNNNNNNNNNNNNNNNNNNNNNNNNNNNNNNNNNNNNNNNNNNNNNNNNNNNNNNNNNNNNNNNNNNNNNNNNNNNNNNNNNNNNNNNNNNNNNNNNNNNNNNNNNNNNNNNNNNNNNNNNNNNNNNNNNNNNNNNNNNNNNNNNNNNNNNNNNNNNNNNNNNNNNNNNNNNNNNNNNNNNNNNNNNNNNNNNNNNNNNNNNNNNNNNNNNNNNNNNNNNNNNNNNNNNNNNNNNNNNNNNNNNNNNNNNNNNNNNNNNNNNNNNNNNNNNNNNNNNNNNNNNNNNNNNNNNNNAGGAUCAUGUUGUAAUAGAUAAUAUCGACUUGCACGUCGAUGGUACGGCAACCGGCAGGAGCCAUAGGGUUGUCUUUAUACUAAUGUUUGUGCUUGCAGAUGCGUUUACUAUUUUGCUAGGAUGUAGCUUUAGUAGUAAUAGCAUGAGUAGCACGACAACCUCGAUGGCAACACGUUGAUGGAGAUCAUGGCAUGGCGCCGGUGACAAGAAGAUCGUGCCGGUGCUUUGGUGAUGGAGAUCAAGAAGCACGUGAUGAUGGCCAUAUCAUGUCACUUAUGAAUUGCAUGUGAUGUUAAUCCUUUUAUGCACCUUAUUUUGCUUAGAACGACGGUAGCAUUAUGAGGUGAUCUCUCACUAAAAUUUCAAGACGAAAUUGUGUUCUCCCCGACAGUGCACCGUUGCUACAGUUCGUCGUUUCGAGACACCACGUGAUGAUCGGGUGUGAUAGACUCAACGUUCACAUACAACGGGUGCAAAACAGUUGCGCACGCGAAACACUCGGGUUAAGCUUGACGAGCCUAGCAUGUGCAGACAUGGCCUCGGAACACAUGAGACCGAAAGAUCGAUCAUGAAUCAUAUAGAUGAUAUGAUUAGCAUAGGGAUGCUUACCACUGAAACUAUACUCAACUCACGUGAUGAUCGGACUUGAGCUAGUGUAAGUGGAUCAUGAACCACUCAAAUGACUAAGAGAGAUGUACUUUUUGAGUGGGAGUUUAGUGUAUAAUUUUGAUUAAAGUUAAACUCUAAUUAUCUUGAACAUAGUCUAAGUCCACUUUGAAUAUAUUUGUGUUGUAGAUCAUGGCUCACGCGACAGUCACCCUGAAUUUUAAUACGUUCCUAGAGAAAGCUAAGUUGAAAGAUGAUGGAUGCAACUUUGUAGACUGGGCUCGUAAUCUUAAGCUAAUCUUACAAGCUGGGAAGAAGGAUUAUGUCCUUAAUUCUGCGCUAGGAGAUGAACCACCCGCUACGGCUGAUCAGGAUGUUAAGAACGCUUGGUUAGCACGUAAGGAGGACUAGUUAGUAGUUCAAUGUGCAGUCUUGUAUGGCUUAGAACCGGGACUUCAACGUCGCUUCGAGCGUCAUGGAGCAUUUGAGAUGUUCCAGGAGUUGAAGUUUAUCUUUCAGAAGGACGCCCGGAUCGAGAGGUAUGAGAGCUCCGAUAAAUUCUAUGCUUGCAAGAUGGAGGAAAACUCGUGUGUGAGUGAACAUGUGCUCAAAAUGUCUGGGUACUCAAACCGUCUAGCUGAGCUGGGGAUUGAACUCCCGCAAGAGGCUAUCACUGACAGAAUCCUUCAAUCACUGCCGCCAAGCUAUAAAGGCUUUGUGUUGAACUACAACAUGCAAGGGAUGAACAAGUCUCCCGGCGAGUUGUUUGCGAUGCUGAAAGUCGCAGAGUCUGAACUCCGUAAAGAGCAUCAGGUGUUGAUGGUGAAUAAGACCACUAGUUUCAAGAUAAACGGCAAAGGCAAGAAGGGUAAUUCAAAGAAGAGCGGCAAGCCUGUUGCCAAUCCGACGAACAAACCCAAAGCUGGACCUAAGCCUGAAACGGAGUGUUACUAUUGCAAGGGUAUGGGUCACUGGAAGCGCAAUUGCCGCAAGUAUCUGGCAGAUAAGAAGGCGUCCAAAGAAAAAUCAGGUAUAUUUGAUAUACAAGUUAUUGAUGUGUACUUAACCGGCUCUCGUAGUAGUGCCUGGGUAUUCGAUACCGGUUUUGUUGCUCAUAUUUGCAACUCGAAACAGGAACUGCGGAAUAGACGAAGGCUGGCGAAAGAUGAAGUGACGAUGCGCGUAGGAAAUGGUUCCAAGGUUGAUGCAAUCGCCGUCGGCACAGUUUCACUUCAGUUACCAUCAGGAUUAGUGAUGAACUUAAAACAUUGUUAUUUAGUGCCUGCAUUGAGCAUGAACAUUAUAUCUGGAUCUUGUUUAUUACGAGACGGUUACUCUUUUAAGUCAGAGAAUAAUGGUUGUUCUAUUUCUAUGAGUAACAUCUUUUAUGGUCAUGCACCCAAUGUGAGAGGAUUGUUCAUAUUGAAUCUUGAUAGCAAUACACACAUACAUAAAACUGAGACCAAAAGAGUUAGAGUUAACAAUGAUAGCGCCAUAUUUUUGUGGCACUGCCGCUUAGGUCAUAUUGGUGUAAAGCGCAUGAAGAAACUCCAUGCUGAUGGACUUUUGGAGUCACUUGACUUUGAUUCACUUGACACGUGCGAACCAUGUCUCAUGGGCAAGAUGACUAAGACUCCGUUCUCCGGAACAAUGGAGCAUGCAAGUGACUUGUUGGAAAUCAUACAUACCGAUGUGUGUGGUCCGAUGAGCGUGGAGGCACGGCGGAUAUCGUUAUUUUCUCACCUUCACUGACGAUUUGAGUAGAUAUGGUUAUGUCUACUUGAUGAAGCACAAGUUUGAAACAUUUGAAAAGUUCAAGCAAUUUCAGUGUGAAGUUGAAAAUCAUCGUAACAAGAAGAUCAAAUUCCUACGGUCUGAUCGUGGGGGUGAAUAUCUGAGUUUCGAGUUUGGUACUCACUUAAGACAAUGUAGAAUUGUUUCACGGUUAACACCGCCUGGAACACCACAGCGUAAUGGUGUGUCCGAACGUCGUAAUCGUACUUUAUUAGAGAUGGUGCGAUCUAUGAUGUCUCUUACCGAUUUGCCGUUAUCGUUUUGGGGUUAUGCAUUAGAAACAGUUGCAUUCACUUUAAAUAGGGCACCAUCAAAAUCCGUUGAGACGACACCAUACGAACUGUGGUAUGGCAAAAGGCCAAAGUUGUCGUUUCUUAAAGUUUGGGGAUGUGAUGCUUAUGUCAAAAAGCUUCAGCCUGAAAAGCUGGAACCCAAAGCGGAAAAGUGCGUCUUCAUAGGUUACCCAAAAGAGACAGUUGGGUACACCUUCUAUCUCAAAUCCGAGGGCAAAGUCUUUGUUGCUAAAAAUGGAGCUUUUCUCGAGAAGGAGUUUCCCUCGAGAGAAUUGAGUGGGAGGAAGAUAGAACUUGACGAGGUUGUCAAACCUCUCAUCCCUCUGGAUGGUGGCGUAGGACAAGGGGAAACCUCUGUCGUUGCGACGCCGGUUGAGGAGGAAGUUAAUGAUGAUGAUCAUGAAACUCUGGUUCAAGUUUCUGUCGAACCACGCAGGUCGACGAGGCCACGUGCUGCUCCAGAGUGGUACGGUAAUCCCGUCUUGUCAAUCAUGUUGUUGGACAACAAUGAACCUGCAAAUUAUGAAGAAGCAAUGGUGGGCCUGGAUUCCAACAAAUGGCUAGAAGCCAUGAAGUCCGAGAUAGGAUCCAUGUAUGAGAACAAAGUGUGGACUUUGGAGGUACUGCCUGAGGGCCGCAAGGCUAUUCAGAACAAAUGGAUCUUUAAGAGGAAGACGGACGCUGGAGGCAAUGUGACCGUUUAUAAAGCUCGACUUGUGGCAAAGGGUUUUUCGCAAGUUCAAGGAGUUGACUACGAUGAGACAUUCUCACCCGUAGCGAUGCUUAAGUCUGUCAGAAUCAUGUUAGCAAUAGCUGCAUUUUUCGAUUAUGAAAUCUGGCAGAUGGAUGUCAAAACGGCGUUCCUUAACGGUUUCCUUAAGGAAGAAUUGUAUAUGAUGCAACCCGAAGGUUUUGUCGAUCCUAAGAAUGCUAACAAGGUGUGCAAGCUCCAGCGAUCCAUUUAUGGACUGGUGCAAGCAUCUCGGAGUUGGAACAAGCGCUUUGAUGAGGUGAUCAAAGCAUUUGGGUUUAUACAAGUGGUUGGAGAAUCUUGUAUUUACAAGAAAGUGAGUGGGAGCUCUGUGGCGUUUCUAAUAUUAUAUGUGGAUGACAUAUUGCUGAUUGGAAACAACGUAGAGUUUUUAGAGAGCAUACGCGCUCCGUCCCCUAUGCUUCAGCCAUAGGUUCUAUCAUGUAUGCAAUGUUGUGCACUAGACCGGAUGUUAGCCUGGCCAUAAGUAUGGCAGGUAGAUUCCAGAGUAAUCCAGGAGUGGAUCACUGGACAGCGGUCAAGAAUAUCCUGAAGUACCUGAAAAGGACUAAGGAGAUGUUUCUCGUGUAUGGAGGUGACGAAGAGCUCGCCGUAAAAGGUUACGUCGAUGCAAGCUUUGACACAGAUCCGGACGACUCUAAGUCGCAAACCGGAUACGUAUUUAUUCUUAAUGGGGGUGCGGUAAGCUGGUGCAGUUCCAAGCAAAGCGUCGUAGCAGAUUCUACAUGUGAAGCGGAGUACAUGGCUGCCUCGGAGGCGGCUAAGGAGGGUGUCUGGAUGAAGCAGUUCAUGACGGAUCUUGGAGUGGUGCCAAGCGCACUGAAUCCAAUAACCUUGUUCUGUGACAACACGGGUGCCAUUGCCUUAGCAAAGGAACCGUCACGGUUUGACAAGAAGACCAGACACAUCAAACGACGCUUCAACCUCAUCCGCGACUACGUCGAGGGAGAGGACGUAAAUAUAUGCAAAGUGCACACGGAUCUGAAUGUAGCAGACCCGCUGACUAAACCUCUUCCACGGCCAAAGCAUGAUCAACACCAGAACUGUAUGGGUGUUAGAUUUAUUACAAUUUAAUUCGCAUGAUGAUGUGAGGGCUAGAUUAUUGACUCUAGUGCAAGUGGGAGACUGUUGGAAUUUUGCCCUAGAGGCAAUAAUAAAUAUAGUUAUUAUUAUAAUUCCUGUAUCAAGAUAAUCGUUUAUUAUCCAUGCUAUAAUUGUAUUGAAUGAAGACUCAUUUACAUGUGUGGAUACAUAGACAAAACACCGUCCCUAGCAAGCCUCUAGUUGGCUAGCCAGUUGAUCAAAGAUAGUCAGUGUCUUCUGAUUAUGAACAAGGUGUUGUUGCUUGAUAACUGGAUCACGUCAUUAGGAGAAUCACGUGAUGAACUAGACCCAAACUAAUAGACGUAGCAUGUUGAUCGUGUCAUUUUGUUGCUACUGUUUUCUGCGUGUCAAGUAUUUAUUCCUAUGACCAUGAGAUCAUAUAACUCACUGACACCGGAGGAAUGCUUUAUGUGUAUCAAACGUCGCAACGUAACUGGGUGACUAUAAAGAUGCUCUAUAGGUAUCUCCGAAGGUGUUAGUUGAGUUAGUAUGGAUCAAGACUGGGAUUUGUCACUCCGUGUGACGGAGAGGUAUCUCGGGGCCCACUCGGUAAUACAACAUCACACACAAGCCUUGCAAGCAAGGUAGCUUAGUGUAAGUUACAGGAUCUUGUAUUACGGAACGAGUAAAGAGACUUGCCGGUAAACGAGAUUGAAAUAGGUAUGCGGAUACUAACGAUCGAAUCUCGGGCAAGUAACAUACCGAAGGACAAAGGGAAUGACAUACGGGAUUAUAUGAAUCCUUGGCACUGAGAUUCAAACGAUAAGAUCUUCGUAGAAUAUGUAGGAUCCAAUAUGGGCAUCCAGGUCCCUCUAUUGGAUAUUGACCGAGGAGUCUCUCGGGUCAUGUCUACAUAGUUCUCGAACCCGCAGGGUCUGCACACUUAAGGUUCGACGUUGUUUUAUGCGUAUUUGAGUUAUAUGGUUGGUUACCGAAUGUUGUUCGGAGUCCCGGAUGAGAUCACGGACGUCACGAGGGUUUCCGGAAUGGUCCGGAAACGAAGAUUGAUAUAUAGGAUGACCUCAUUUGAUUACCGGAAGGUUUUCGGAGUUACCGGGAAUGUACCGGGAAUGACGAAUGGGUUCCGGGAGUUCACCGGGGGGGGCAACCCACCCCGGGGAAGCCCAUAGGCCUUGAGGGUGGCGCACCAGCCCUUAGUGGGCUGGUGGGACAGCCCAAAAGGGCCCUAUGCGCCUAGGAAAGAAAAUCAAAGAGAAAAGAAAAAAAAGGAGGAGGUGGGAAGGGAAGGAAGGACUCCCACCCACCAAACCAAGUCCAACUCGGUUUGGGGGGGGAGCCUUCCCCCCUUGGCUCGGCCGACCCCCUUGGGGCUCCUUGAGCCCCAAGGCAAGGUCCCCUCCCUCCCACCUUUAUAUACGAAGGUUUUAGGGCUGAUUUGAGACGACUUUUCCACGGCAGCCCGACCACAUACCUCCACGGUUUUUCCUCUAGAUCGCAUUUCUGCGGAGCUCGGGCGGAGCCCUGCUGAGACAAGGUCAUCACCAACCUCCGGAGCGCCGUCACGCUGCCAGAGAACUCUUCUACCUCUCCGUCUCUCUUGCUAGAUCAAGAAGGCCGAGAUCAUCGUCGAGUUGUACGUGUGCUGAACGCGGAGGUGCCGUCCGUUCGGUACUAGAUCGUGGGACUGAUCGCGGGAUUGUUCGCGGGGCGGAUCGAGGGACGUGAGGACGUUCCACUACAUCAACCGCGCUCAUAACGCUUCUGCUGUACGAUCUACAAGGGUACGUAGAUCACUCAUCCCCUCUCGUAGAUGGACAUCACCAUGAUAGGUCUUCGUGCGCGUAGGAAAUUUUUUGUUUCCCAUGCGAAGUUCCCCAAUAUUUAUUCUAUAGCGUGUACCUUUUUACUAGUAGGUGACUUUUCAAUGUGCCUCUGAGAGUAGUUCAUCAUGAUAUUGUCUAGGAUUUUUGUGGCUUCUCCUAACGUGAUUUCCAUGAACGUUCCACUUGAGGCGGAGUCCAAGAUAUUUCUAGAAGCAAAAUUCAAGCCAGCGUAGAAGAUUUGUAUAAUCAUCCAAAGACUCAAGCCAUGGGCGGGACAAUUUCUAAUCAUCAAUUUCAUUCUCUGCCAAGAUUGUGCAAACAUGUUCAUGAUCAAGUUGCUUAAAAUUCAUGAUAUCAUUACGUAGAGAGAUAAACUUAGCUAGCGGAAAAUACUUGGAUAUAUAAGCAUCUUUGCACUUGUUCCAAGAAUAAAUACUAUUUUUGGGCAAAGAUGAAAACCAAGUUUUUGCUCGAUCUCGCAACGAGAACGGAAAAAGCUUCAAUUUAAUCACAUCAUUAUCCACAUCUUUCUUCUUUUGCAUAUUGCAAAGCUCAAUGAAGGUAUUAAGAUGGGAUGCGGCAUCUUCACUAGGAAGGCCGGAGAAUUCCUCUUUCAUAACAAGAUUCAGCAAAGCAGCAUUGAUUUCUUAUGAUUCCGCACUAGUGGCGGGAGCAAUCGAAGUACUAAUAAAGUCAUUAUUAUUAGUAUUCGAGAAGUCAUAAAGUUUGGUGUUUUCAGUCAUGGUGACUUCAGCAAGCAAGCAAACACGCAAGCGAACAGAAAUCAAGCGAGAGAAAAGGAAAACGAAAAAGGCAAACGAAAAAGGAAAAUAUUUUGUAAAUUUUUGUUUUUCAGAAGUGUGGGAGAGGAAAACGAGAGGCAAAAAAAGUAAAUGCAAGAUAUGAGUUUGCGAUACUUACUUGGAUGAGUUCUUGACUUGAUCUUCCCCGGCAACGGCGCCAGAAAUCCUUGUGCUGCCUCUUGAGCUUGCGUUGGUUUUUCCCUUGAAGAGGAAAGGGUGAUGCAGCACAGGAGCAGUAAUUAUUUCCCUCAGUUUGAGAACCAAGGUAUCAAUCCAGUAGGAGAAUCGCGUCAAGUCCAGAGUACCUGCGCAAACACAAAAGAGCUUGCACCCAACGCUAUAAAGGGGUUGUCAAUCCCUUAAAGAUUGAUUGCAAAGUGAGAUCUGAAGGCGGAAAGUGCAACAAAGUAAAAGUGUAAGGCUGAAAAUAUGGUGUGAAGUAGACCCGGGGGCCAUAGUGUUCACUAGGGGCUUCUCUCAAAAUAGCAAAUAAUAUGGUGGGUGAACAAAUUACUAUCGAGCAAUUGAUAGAACCACGCAAAGUCAUGACGAUAUCUAAGGCAAUGAUCAUACAUAUAGGCAUCACGUCCGAGACAAGUAGACUGAUACUUUCUGCAUCUACUGCUAUUACUCCACACAUCGACCGCUAUCCAGCAUGCAUCUAGUGUAUUGAGUUCAUGACGAACAGAGUAACGCCUUAAGCAAGAUGACAUGAUGUAGAGGGAUAAACUCAAACCAAUGAUGAAAACCCCAUCUUUUUACCCUUGAUGGCAACAACAUGAUGUGUGCCUCGCUACCCCUUCUGUCACUAGGUGAGGUCACCGCACGGUAUGAACCCAAAACCAAGCACUUCUCCCAUUGCAAGAAUCAUAGAUCUAGUUGGCCAAACAAAACCCACAACUCAAAGAGAAUUACAAGCAUAUGAAAUCAUGCAUAAGAGAGAUCAGAAGAAACUCAAACAAGAUUCAUAGAUAAUCUGAGCAUAAGUCCACAAUUCAUCGGAUCUCGACAAACACACCGCAAAAGAAGAAUACAUUGGAUAGAUCUCCAUGAAGAUCAUGGAGAACUUUGUAUUGAAGAUCCAAGAGAGAGAAGAAGCCAUUUAGUUACUAGCUAUGGACCCGUAGGUCUAUGGUGAACUACUCACGCAUCAUGAGAGAGGUCAUGGUGUUGAUGAAGAAGCCCUCCGUAUCCGAAUCCCCCCUCCGGCAGGGCACCAGAACGUGCCUGAGAUGGGAUCUUGCGGAGACAGAAGCUUGCAGAAGCGGAAAAGUACUUUCGAUGGUAUCUUGAUUUUUUAUGGAAUUAUAGAAAAUAUAUAGGCACAAAACCUAGGGCAAAGGAGGCUCAGGGAGCCCACAAGCCAGGGGGCGCGGGCCCCCCUAGCCGCGCCAUGAGGGCUUUUGGGGUCCCUGGUGGCCCCCUGCCCUGAUUCUCCGGCUUCUCGAUCUUUUUCUCUUGCGGAAAAAAUCUUUUUGGCAGUUUCAUUCCGUUUGGGCUCCGUUCAAAAUCCUCCUCUGAAAGGGGUCAAAAACAUGGAAAAAACAGGAAUUGGCACUUGGCACUGAGUUAAUAAGUUAGUUCCAAAAAAUAUAGAAGGCAUGCAAAACAUCCAAAGUUUGACAAGAUAAUAGCAUGAAACCAUUAAAAAUUAUAGAUACGUUCGAGACGUAUCAAGCAUCCCCAAGCUUAACUCCUGCUCGUCCUCGAGUAGGGAAGUGAUAAAGACUGAAUUUUUGAUGUGGAAUGCUACCUAGCAUAGUUGUCCUUUGCAACUUCUUUCACGUGACAUGAAUGUUCAGAUCCGUAAGAUUUGAAACAAUAGUUUGCUAUUGACAUGAAAACAAUAAUACUUCAAGCAAACUAGCAAGGUAAUCAUGAACUUUCAAAAUAACAAGGCCAAGGAAAGUUAUCCCUACAAAAUCAUAUAGUCCGGCUAUGCUCCAUCAUCCUCACACAACUAAUGUAAAUCAUGCACAACCCCGGUAUUGGCCAAGUAAUUGUUUUCGCACUCUUACUUUCUCAAACCUUUUACAACUAUCACGCAAUACAUGAGCGUCAGCCAUGGAUAUAGCACUAUAGGUGGAAUAGAGUGUGGUGGUGGUUGUGAGACAAAAAGGAGGAGAUGGUCACAUUGACUCGGCGUAUCAAAGGGCUAUGGAGAUUCCCAUUAAUAGAUAUCAAUGUGAAUGAGUAGGGAUUGCCAUACAAGGGAUGCACUAGAGCUAUAAGUAUGUGAAUGCUCAAAAGGAAAACUAGUGGGUGUGCAUCCAACUUGCUUUCUCACGAAGACCUAGGGCAAUUUUGAGGAAGCCCAUCAUUGGAAUAUACAAGCCAAGUUAUAUAAUGAAGAUUCCCACUAGCAUAUGGUAGUGACAAAGCAAGAAGCUCUCAAUCAUGAAGAACAUGGUGCUAUUAUGAAGCACAAGUGUGGAAAAAGAUAGUAGCAUUGUCCCUUCUCUCCUUUUCUCUUUUUAUUUUUAUUUUUAUUUUUAUUUGGGCUCUUAGCCCUCUCUUUUUUUCUCUUUUUUUGUAUGGGCUCUUUGGACUCUUCUCUUCCUUUUUAAUUUCCUCACACGGGACAAUGCUCUAAUAAUGAUGAUCAUUACACUUUUAUUUACUCAAAGCUCAAAGCUUAGAACGAUGAUGCCUCUAUAGGAAAUGACAAUCAAUAGAUUAAUUAUGCUCUGACUUCCUAACAUAGCGGUUCACCAUACGUGCAUGGUACGGGAAUCACUAACUUCAACACAAGUAUUUCUAGAUUCACAACACCCUACUAACAUAGCUCUUAAUAUUACCAAAUCCACGUCUCAAAACUAAUUGAGAGGAAUCAAAACUUCUCUUUCUACUCAAUGCACAUGAAGCUGGAGGUUUUGUAUCCUCUUUGGGUUCCUAUCACCUUUGGGACUACUUUCAUACCAUAAGCCAACUACCAAGUCACGCACCGCCGUGCUCUAAAAGAUAUAAGUGAAGCACAUAGAGCAAAAUUAUCUAGCUCAAAAGAUAUAAGUGAAGCACUAUGAGCAUUCUAGCAAAAUCACGAUGAGUGCAUGUCUCUCUCUCUCAAAAAGGUGUGCAGCAAGGAAGAUUGUGACAAAACAAAAAGAAAAGACUCCUAUGAUACAAGACGCUCCAAGCAAAACACAUAUCAUGUGGUGAAUAAAAAUAUAGCUCCAAGUAAUGUUACCGAUGGAUUGAAGUCGAAAGAAGGGAUGCCUUCGCGGGGCAUCCCCAAGCUUAGGUUUUUGGUGUCCUUGAAUAUGGAUUGGGAUGCCUUGGUAAUCCCCAAGCUUGAGCUCUUUCCACUACUUAUCUCUUUGUCCAUGAGAACAUCACCCAAAACUUGAAAACUUCACAACACAAAACUUAAACAGAAACUUGUGAUAACAUUAGCACAAGAAAACAAACUACCACUUUUUUUGGUACCGUAGAAAACUUGAAUUCUAUCUAUAUUGGUGUUGGGCUACUGUAUUCUCACUUUUCCAUGGCUAGUACCCCUCGAUACUAACCAUAGUUUCAUCAAAACAAGCAACCAACUCAACAAAAACAGAUACUGUCAAAAACAUACCAGUCUGUAGAAAUCUGUAUACUUCGUAUACUUCUGGUACCUCAAAACUUCUGAAAAAUUACGACUGCUUGGGCAAAAGGCAUAUCAACCAGCAUAAAAAAGAAUCAACUCAAAAGCUCUUUCUGAAUAAAAAUGAAAAAUCAUCUCGUGAGCGAAAAGUUUAUGUCUUUUUCCAGCAGGUUCAAACAACCAUUACCAAGACUAGUCAUAAAGGUUUUGCUUGGCUCGAACACAAAAAGAAACACAAAAAACACAAUCACAACAUAAUUAUGAUGGUUUGGAUGCAACAAAACAGAAAGAAAAGAUAAAUUCAUUGGCUUGCCUCCCAACAAGCGCUAUUGUUUAACGCCCUUAGCUAGGCAUAAAAGCGAUAGAAUCACGUAUCGUCGUCUUUGGUGCUCAAACCAUAAGUGGCCCUCAUCAUGGAUUCAUAAGGCAAUCUUAUUUUCUUUCUAGGAAAGUGUUCCAUGCCCUUCUUUAAAGGAAAUUGAAAUCUAAUAUUCCCUUCCUUCAUAUCGAUGAUAGCAUCGAUAGUCCUUAGGAAAGGUCUACCAAGAAUACUAGGGCAUGUAGGAUUGCAAUCAAUGUCAAGCACAAUGAAAUCCAUGGGUACAUAGUUCCUAUUUGCAAUAAUAAGAACAUCAUUGAUCCUUCCCAUGGGUUUCUUGACAGUAGAAUCCGCAAGAUGCAAAUUAAGAGAACACUCUUCAAUCUCAUUAAAACCCAGAACAUCACAAAAAGACUUUGGAAUCGCGGAAACACUAGCACCCAAAUCACACAAAGCAUUGCAUUCAUAGUUUUUGAUUUUGAUUGUGAUGGUAGAUUCCCACUCAUCAUGAAGCUUUCUAGGGAUAGAGACUUCCAAUUCAAGUUUCUCUUCAAGAGAUUUUAUCAUAGCUUCGACGAUAUGAUCAGUAAAGGCCUUGUUUUGGCUAUAAGCGUGUGGAGAGUUUAACAUGGAUUGCAUCAAGGAAAUGCAUUAUAUCAAGGAGAAACUAUCAUCAUUGGAUUCCUUGAAAUCCAUGGUAGUAAUUUCAUUACUACUCAAAUCUUUAAUAUCUUCUACUCCACUUUCAAUGCUUUUAGCAUCAAGAUAGAUGGACUCCGAAUCAUAGGGGCGCUUUUCAACCAAAGUGGAUUCAUAUCCAGCCCCAUAAUCAUUAGGUUUGUCACAAGAAAACAAAGAUUCAAUGGGAGUCACACCAAGCACUUUAAGAUCUUCAUGAUUCUUAUCACGAGAACACGCCUUUUUAAGCCAUUCAUGUCUAGCACGAAUUUGGGCCGUUCUUUCUUGGCUCUCAAUCAUGGAAACACGCAUAGCUUUCAAAGUUUCAUCCAUAUUGAUCUUGGGAGGAGCACAUAUAACUUUCAAAGCAUCAACAUCACUAGACAUUCUAUCAACGCUCUUAGCCAAAUCGUCAAUUUUGAGUAGCUUUUCCUCUCUGGACGCAUUGAAAAUCUUUUGUGAGUUGAUGAACUCUUUGAUAUUACUCUCUAGAUCAGAGGGUAAUCUAUUGUAAUUUCCAUGAGUAUUGUUGUAGGAGUUUCCAAUGUUAUUAGAGGAGUUACUAGGAAAAGGCCUAGGAACAUAGUUUCCUCUAAAAGCAUUGUUGUUGCCAAAAUUAUUCCUACCAACAAAAUUAACGUCCAAGCUAGCGUUGCUACUCUCAAUCAAGGAAGACAAGGGCAUAUCAUUACGAUCUAAAGGAGCACUUCUACUAGCAACCAAAUUCAUUAACUCAUCCAUCUUAGCACUCAACGAGUUAAUUUCUUCUAUAGCGUGUACCUUCUUACUAGUAGGUGACCUUUCAGUGUGCCACUGAGAGUAAUUCGUCAUGAUGUUGUCUAGUAGUUUCGUGGCUUCGCCUAACGUGAUUUCCAUGAACAUUCCACCUGAGGCGGAGUCCAAGAUAUUUCUAGAAGCGAAAUUCAAGCCAGCGUAAAAGAUUUGAAUAAUCAUCCAAGGACUCAAGCCAUGAGCAGGACAAUUUCUAAUCAUCAAUUUCAUUCUCUCCCAAGAUUGUGCAACAUGUUCAUGAUCAAGUUGCUUGAAAUUCAUGAUAUCAUUAUGGAGGGAGAUAAUCUUAGCCGGCGGAAAAUAAUUGGAUAUAUAAGCAUCUUUGCACUUAUCCCAAGAAUCGAUACUAUUUUUGGGCAAAGAAGAAAACCAAGUUUUUGCCCGAUCUCGCAACGAGAAAAGAAAAAGCUUCAAUUUAAUCACAUCAUUAUCCACAUAUUUCUUCUUUUGCAUAUCGCAAAGCUCAAUGAAGGUAUUGAGAUGGGAUGCGACAUCUUCACUAGGAAGGCCAGAGAAUUGCUCUUUCAUAACAAGAUUGAGCAAAGCGGCAUUGAUUUCGUAUGACUCCGCACUAGUGGAGCAAUCGGAGUACUAAUAAAAUCAUUAUUAUUAGUAUUCGAGAAGUCACAAAGUUUGGUGUUUUCAUUCAUGGUGACUCCAGCAAGCAAGCAAGCACUCAAGCGAACAAAGAGCAAGCGAGAAAAAAGGCGAACGAAAAGGCAAACGAAAAAGGCAAAUUGUGAAGUGGGGGAGAGGAAAACAAGAGGCAACUGGCAAACAAAGUAAAUGCAAGAGAUAAGUUUGCGACACCUACUUGGAUGAGUUCUUCACUUGAUCCUCCCCGGCAACGGCGCCAGAAAUUCUUCUGCUACGGCAACAAAAGUCCUUCCCCGGCAACGCCAGGAAUUCUUCUUGCUACUUCUCUUGCUUGCGUUGGUUUUUCCCUUGAAAAGGAAAGGGUGAUGAAGCACAGGAGCAGUAAGUAUUUCCCUCAGUUUGAGAACUAAGGUAUCAAUCCAGUAGGAGAAUCUCGUCAAAUCUAGAGUACCUGCGCAAACACAUAAGAGCUUGCACCCAACGCUAUAAAGGGGUUGUCAAUCCCUUCAAGAUUGAUUGCAAAGUGAGAUCUAAAGGCGAAAAAUGCAACGAAGAAAAAGUGUAAGGCUGAAAAUAUGGUGUGGAGUAGACCCGGGGGCCAUAGUGUUUACUAGAGGCUUCUCUCAAAAUAGCAAAUAUCACGAUGGGUGAACAAAUUACUGCCGAGCAAUUGAUAGAACCGCGCAAAGUCAUGACGAUAUCUAAGGCAAUGAUCAUACAUAUAGGCAUCACGUCCGAGACAAGUAGACCGAUACUUUCUGCAUCUACUACUAUUACUCCACACAUCGACCGCUAUCCAGCAUGCAUCUAGUGUAUCAAGUUCAUGACGAACAGAGUAACACCUUAAGCAAGAUGACAUGAUGUAGAGGGAUAAACUCAAACCAAUGAUGAAAACCCCAUCUUUUUACCCUUGAUGGCAACAACACGAUGCGUGCCUCGCAACCCCUUCUGUCACUGGGUGAGGUCACCGCACGGUAUGAACCCAAAACCAAGCACUUCUCCCAUUGCAAGAAUCAUAGAUCUAGUUGGCCAAACAAAACCCACAACUCGAAGAGAAUUACAAGGAUAUGAAAUCAUGCAUAAGAGAUAUCAGAAGAAACUCAAAUAAGAUUCAUAGAUAAUUUGAUCAUAAAUCCACAAUUCAUCGGAUCUCGACAAACACACCGCAAAAGAAGAUUACAUCAGAUAGAUCUCCAUGACGAUCAUGGAGAACUUUGUAUUGAAGAUCCAAGAGAGAGAAGAAGCCAUCUAGUUACUAGUGAUGGACCCGUAGGUCUAUGGUGAACUACUCACGCAUCAUCAGAGAGGUCAUGGUGUUGAUGAAGAAGCCCUCUGUAUCCGAAUCCCCCCUCCGGUAGGGCACCAGAACGUGCCCCAGAUGGGAUCUUGCAGAGACAGAAGCUUGCGGCGGUGGAAAAGUACUUUCGAUGAUCUCCUGAUUUUUUAUGGAAUUUUAGAGAAUAUAUAGGCACAAAACCUAGGGCAAAGGAGGCUCAGGGAGCCCACAAGCCAGGGGGCGCGGGUCCCCUGGCCGCGCCAUGAGGGCUUGUGGGGUCCCUGCUGGCCCCCUGCCCUGAUUCUCCGGCUUCCCGAUCUUUUUCUGUUCCGAAAAAAAUAUUUUUGGCAGUUUCAUUCCUUUUGGGCUCCGUUCAAAAUCCUCCUAUGAAAGGGUCAAAAACAUGGAAAAAGCAGGAACUGUUACUUGGCACUGAGUUAAUAAGUUAGUCCCACAAAAUAUAUAAAAGGCAUGCAAAACAUCCAAAGUUUGACAAGAUAAUAGCAUGAAACCAUAAAAAAUUAUAGAUACGUUGGAGACGUAUCACUCAUGCAUCAUCAAAGGAGCAAGAGUGAGGAUGUCGAACCCCUCCAUGAUCGUGUUCCUCUCCGAAAUGGGCUCAAGAUUGGAUUUCGUGGCUCUGGAACUUGCGGUGACUCAAAUGAUUUUUAGUCGACUCCUCAUGGGUUUUCUGAAUAUUGGGGUAUUUAUAGAGCCGAGAGGUGGUAGAUAAGCCUCCUGAGGGAUCCACUAGACACGAGGCAGUGCCACGGGCCUCUAGCGUGCCCUGAUGUCAAGUGGGACCCCUAGGCAACCUCUGCUGCUCAUUCUCUGUUCCCAAUUGUCCUUCUGGUCUAAAAAAUACCCGUAAAGUUUCACGGCAAUUGGACCUCAUGUGAUAUGGAUUUUCUGCAAAGGAAAAAACAACAAAAACAGGUUCUGGCACUAGGCACUAUGUCGAUAGGUUAGUCCCAAGAAGGUUUAUGGAUGCACAAGUAGUAUCUUGCUACUGCGACAACAGACCUUCCCUCGCAACGGCGUGAGGAAUCCUGCUGCUAUGGCUACGCCUAUAGGGAUUUCCUUAGCAAAUAUGCAAAUGAUUUCCCCGCGGCCUUGGAGCCUUGCGUUGGUGUUCCCUUGAAGAGGAAAGGGUGAUGUAGCACAGGGGUGGUAUGUAUUUCCCUCAGUUUGAGAACCAAGGUACCAAUCCAGUAGGAGGAGAGUUCAAGUACCUGCACAAACACAAAGAGCUUGCACCCAACGCUAUGAAGGGGUUGUCAAUCCCUUAUAGAUUGUUUGCAAAGUGAGAACUGAAAGCAAAGAGUAAACAAAGCAAAGUAAACGUGAAAGUGGAAACGAUAGUUGUGAAUAGACCCGGGGGCCGUAGCGUUCACUAGUGGCUUCUCUCAUGAAAGCAAGUAGAUGGUGGGUGAACGAAUUACCGUCGAGCAAUUGAUAGAACCGCGUAAAAUCGUGACGUUAUCUAAGGCAAUGAUUAUAUCUAUAGGCAUGACGUCCAAAACAAGUAGACCGAUACUUUCUGCAUCUACUACUAUUACUCCACAUGUCGACCGCUAACCAGCAUGCAUCUAGUGUAUUAAGUUCAUGAGAACAGAGUAACGCCUUAAGAAAGAUGACAUGAUGUAGAUGGACAAUCUCAUAUCUACGAUAAAAGCCCAUCUUCUUACCCUUGAUGGCAACAACACGAUGCGUGCCUUGCUGCCCCUUCUGUCACUGGGAAAGGUCACCACACGGUAUGAACCAAAACCAAUCACUUCUCCCAUUGCAAGAAUCAUAGAUCUAGUUGGCCAAACAAAACCCAAGACUCGGAGAGACUUACAAGGAUAUCAAAUCAUGCAUAUAAGAAAUCAGCAAAGACUCAAAUAUAAUUCAUAGAUAAUCUGAUCAAAAAUCUACAAUUCAUGGGAUCUCGACAAACACACCGCCAAAGAGGAUUACAUCAGAUAGAUCUCCAUGAAGAUCAUGGAGAACUUUGUAUUGAAGAUCCAAGAGAGAGAAGAAGCNNNNNNNNNNNNNNNNNNNNNNNNNNNNNNNNNNNNNNNNNNNNNNNNNNNNNNNNNNNNNNNNNNNNNNNNNNNNNNNNNNNNNNNNNNNNNNNNNNNNUCUUGUUCAUCGUGAUCGAAUUUUAUCUAUAAUUUUUGGCCUCAUGAAGGAGAAAGUAUCGCUCUAGCUUGGGGGAGGCUGAAGUCAUUGUUAUAUUCAUGCCCCAAUCAUGAGCUCCCGGGGGAAAUUAUUAUUCAAAAAAUUUAUGCUCGGCUUUCACGUAAUGAUCAAACCAUGCUCGAUACUUCUUGUUCUGGUUCUUUUAUGAAGAAGACUAUUGAAUUCAGGUGGGAUCUUUUGGAAAGAAUUAAACGCUACUCUGAAGAUUGGGAAAUCGAUGAAGGUAAAGGGUGAGGUAUAAAACUUAAGUUUGACUAUGUUAAAUCUUUUAUGAAUACCGAUGCUUUCAAUGAUUUUAGUACUAAAUAUGGACUUGACUGUGAGAUAGUAGCCUCAUUUUGUGAAACCUUUGCUGCUCAUGUUGAUCUCCCUAAAGAGAAAUGGUUUAAAUAUCAUCCACCUAUUAGAGAAAAAGUUGAAUAACCAAUUAAAGUUCAGGAUGAACUNNNNNNNNNNNNNNNNNNNNNNNNNNNNNNNNNNNNNNNNNNNNNNNNNNNNNNNNNNNNNNNNNNNNNNNNNNNNNNNNNNNNNNNNNNNNNNNNNNNNAGUAGACCCUUCUUGAACACUGUUAAUGCUCAAACACAUUGCAAAACGGAAACUGUCACUGUUAAUUUUGGUGGUAUGUCUCAUGAGUUUCAUUUCUCCAAGUUCAGUAAGCAACCCCAUGAUAAAGAAUUGCGUAAGGAUGAAGUAAUUGGUCUUGCUUCUAUUUCCAUUCCUCCUACUAAUCCAUUAGAACAAUAUUUGCUAGACCAUGAAAACGAUAUGCAUAUGAGUGAAAUAAAUGAACUAGAUAAAAUGUUCUAUGAGAAAAAGCCUAUCCUUAAACACAACUUGCCUGGUGAAACUGUAGGAGGUCAUCCUCCACCCAAGGGUGAUCCUAUGUUUGAAUUAAAGCAAUUACCCGACACUUUGAAAUAUGCUUAUCUUGAUGAAAAGAAGAUAUAUCCUGUUAUUAUGAGUGCUAACCUCACAGUGCAUGAAGAAGAAAGAUUGUUAAAAACUUUAAGGAAGGACCAAGCUGCUAUUGGAUAUACUCUUGAUGAUCUUAAGGUCAUUAAUCCCAUUCUCUGUGAGCGUAAGAUUAAUAUGGAACCAGAUGUUAAACCAGUUGUUGAUCACCAACGAAGACUGAGUCCGAAAAUGAAAGAAGUGGUAAGAAAGGAGGUAUUAUUGUUGUCCCUAAUGAUAAAAAUGGACUCAUUCCACAAACAAUUGUGACUCGCUAUAGAAUGGUAAUUGAUUUUAGAAAACUAAACAAAGCUACUAGAAAAGAUCACUAUCCUUUACCUUUCGUAGACCAAAUGCUAGAAAGAUUAUCGAAGCACACACAUUUUUUGCUUUCUAGAUGGUUAUUAUGUUUUUAUCAAAUACCUAUGUCACAACGUGAUCAAGAGAAAAUCACAUUUACCUGCCCAUUUGGAGCCUAUGCUUAUAUACGUAUGCCUUUUGGAUUAUGCAAUGCACCUGCUACCUUUCAAAGAUGCAUGAUUGCUAUAUUCUCUGAUUUUUGUGAAAAUAUUGUUGAGGUUUUCAUGGAUGAUUUUUCCAUUUAUGAAACUUCUUUUGAUGAUUUCUUAAGCAACCAUGGUUGAGUUUUGCAAAGAUGUGAGCAAACUAACCUUGUCUUGAAUUGGGAGAAGUGCCACUUUAUGGUAAACGAAGGUAUUAUCUUGGGUCAUAAAAUUUCCGAACGAGGUAUUGAGGUGGAUAAUGCUAAAGUUGAUGCAAUUGAUAAGAUGCCAUGUCCUAAAGAUAUUAAAGGUAUCAGUAGUUUCCUUGGUCAUGUUGGUUUCUAUAGAAGGUUUAUUGAAGACUUUUCUAAAAUCUCUACACCUCUUACUAAUUUAUUACAAAAGGAUGUUCCUUUCGUUUUUGAUGAUGAUUGUGUAGAAUCCUUUGAAACACUUCAGAAAGACUUAACUUGUGCACCUAUUAUUGAACCACCUGAUUGGAUCUUGGCUUUUGAAAUUAUGUUUGACGCUAGUGAUUAUGUUGUUGGUGCUGUUCUAGGACAAAGAGUUGAUAAGAAAUUAAAUGUUAUCCAUUAUGCUAGCAACACUCUAGUCAGUGCUGAAAGGACCACAAUGUCUCCUAGAGGGUGGGGGGUGAAUAGGCUUUUUAAAAACUUCUAUGGUUUGGCUUUAUCCUAAUGCGGAAAUAAACUAAGAGGAUACUUUUCAAGCACAAAUCCUAAAUAUACUAGGCUCAACUAUGUGCACCAAAAACUCUACUAAGAUGAGCACAACAAGAUUACUCACAAGCACAAGUAAGUUACACAAACUUACUUGAGCAAUAUCACAAGAUAUGUAAGUGUAUGACACAAGUUAACAAUUCACACUAAACACAAGAUACAUCAAUAGCAGCAAGUAUGAAUUGCGGGAUAUAAAGUGUAGGCCUAAAUGAUUAAUCUUUAUAGGUAAAUAGACAACACAAUAUAAUAAGGACAACAAUAUGUAGUGAAUGUACGCUCAAGUAACCAAGGUAAACCACAAGUAAGGAGUUAGGGUUAGGGAUAACUGAAGUCACAAACACGAGGAUGUAUCUCGAUGUUUACUUCCUUGGAGGGAAGCUAGUCACCAUUAGAGAGGUGGAUGUUACCACGAAGGCACACAAAAGCUAUGAAGGCUCACCCUAUUCUCCUUGAGAUAUCACCACAAAGGCAAUUCCCAACCACUAGUGGUAGACCUUGAGGCGGCCUCCAAACUUUCACAAACUUUUCGGGGGACAAAUCACAAGUUGAUUCCUCACCAAAGCACUCCUACCACCUAGCAGUAUCCAACCUCCAAGAGUAACAAGAUCAAAGGGGAAAUGCUCAAGACUUGCUCAAAUCAUAAAUUUCUUUGGUCAAAAUAGAGAGAGGAGUAUGCUUGGAUGAAAUCUCUCUAUAGAACUCUCGGAAAUCUCUUCGCGAUUUACCACAAGAAUGCUCAAAUCCUUCUCUCUCAAAGUCCACCAAAAGCAAUAAUGAUAUGGAGGGAUGGAAGAGGAGAGGAACAAUUUAUAAGGUCAACGAAUGAACCCUAGAUCCAUGGGAUAGUUUUCCCCCAAAUGGAUUGGAGUUUUGAGGCUCGGGGGAGAAGGAGAGAGCUCAAAACAAUAGGGAAAUCUCAGAUCCAAAAGCCUCUAACUCGUUGGGGAAGAAGGGUACCUUAUAUAGUGCCCCACCAAAUCUACCCGUUAUGCAUAGAAAAAUGUAGCCCGGAACUUGUCGGCUUCGUGGAACUUCCGGGCUCCCUAUUGAGGCACACAAUGUAAAGUUUUUGGUUAGCCCGGAACUUGCCCCGUAACCUGCCCGGAACUUCCGGGAGGCCCGGAACUAUCGGGCUCCCUUUGGGCCACAUUUUCGCAAACUUUCUGUUUAGCCCGGAACCUUCCCGGAACUUCCGACAAGCUAGUCAUAUUUACAAAAAAAUAGAUAGAGUUCAUACCAGCUUUUCCAGUCUCAUUCACUUCAUCAUAUAUCAUCAUUAUUGCCUUUCACUUGCACGAUCGAACGAUGUGAACAAUAAUAAGAGUGCUCGUGCAUUGGACUAAGCUGAAUCUGCAGGCAAACACAAAGGAGAAGACAAAGUAAUAUGGCUCUUUAACAAAUGAACAGGUAUGCAUGCGAGAGCCACUAAACAUUGUAACCAAUAUCUUCUAUCUUGACCCAAAGAAAAAGAAAACUAUUUACACGGGAAAGCUCCCAACAAGCAAAAGAAGAAAGGAAAAUCUUUUUGGGUUUUCUCAAAAGGACACAAAACAAGAAAACAAGAAAAAGAAAAUAAACUAGCAUGGAUAAUACAGUGGCAAAGUGUAAACACCGACUAACAAAGUGAAAGCAUAAGCAUGAAUGUAAAGUUGGUGCAAACACGUACUCCCCCAAGCUUAGGCUUUUGGCCUAGCUUGGUCUACUCCCAAGGAGGGAAAUAACCAGCUCCGGGAUACUCCGGAGCGGACUGUGGAUGCCACUGCUGUGUGAGCUCCUCUGGCUCCCACUGAUAAACUGGUGUCUGGUACUCGACUGGCGGCUCGGGCACGGGCACCUGUGGUUGGGCCAAACCCCAAUACACGUAGAUGUCCGAGGGCAUAAUAAUGUACCUUCCUGCAUAAAGGUUGAACAUAGAAGGAGCAGGCAAAGUAAUAGUCUCUCGAGUACCCUGACUAAAUACCAGGUUAUAAAUCAUCCGUCUACUAGCAUCUCUAUCUAGAUAAUAAUGGCGAACCAUGCUGUCAUAAUCCAGAUAUUUCUCAAGAAGAAGCAUUUCUUCUUCCUCGCGAAGUCUAAUAGGUUUCUGAAAGUGUCUAGCAAGACGAGUAGCAUAGAUACCUCCAUAGACGACACCUUUGGAACGGUUUGUGUUCAACCGCUGAGCUACUAUAGCACCUAGGCUAUAAGUCUUAUUGUUAUAAAGGCCUUCGUGCAAAACCGCAAGGCCUGGAGAGCUAAGUGAUCCAGCCUCCCCACGGCGAAUCAAACAUUUUCCCACAAAUAAUGAGAAGUACCGAAGCACGGGAAAAUGUAUGCUAGCAAUUCUAGUGCGAGACACUCCUCUCUCCUCUCCAACAGGAAUAGUACCUAUGAAAUCCUCCAAGUCCCGUGGACGAGGAUCAUGAAUAUCCCCAACAUAAGGUAAUUUGCAUACAUUGCAAAAAUCCUGUAGUUUCAUGCACUGGGGGAUAUCGUAUAACAUGAACUCAACCAUAGGAGGAUUCUUCCUCGGAUAAAAGUUGAAGCUUUGAACGAAAAUGUUGGUGAGGAGGAGGUAUUGUGGGCACUUAUCUUCAACGAACGCGGUAAGACCUGCGUUCUCCACCAAGUAAUAAAAGUCUUCAUAAAGCCCAGCGGCGCGCAAAAAUUCAUCACUUGGCCACUCGCACGCUCGAACUUUUGUGACUCGAGGAACAACGUACUUGGGGUGGUUCUUCUCAUCCUCCUUGGGGUUACGUCUUGAAGAGCCUCUCAAGAACCUCCUCAUCUUUUCCCUUUUCUAACUCUGAAAAAUUCUGAAAUUUUUAGAGACUUUGAAAGAAAAGUGAGUAUGGAUUAACCCAACUCGUAGCAACUACUCCUACUAGUGCCUAGAGACCAUAUCACGCGCUAAAACUACUUGGGACCAGCUAAAAUCAACAUUUCAAGCUCAAGAACAGGGUCACCAAGGUAGCAAGAAUACGCGAAGGAUAAAGAACUAGAGUAGAAACUAAUUGGACCAAUGGAGGAGUCACUUACCAAGGAGUAAUUUCCCCAAAACGGUUCGGAGAAUGGUGCUUUGAGCAAGGAGAUCGAAAAUCACAGCCAAAUGAGCAAGAACACGGGGUUGAGCUGCGAAACAAUUUUUUCUGGAGGUAGAAGAAGAGGAUGGGAGCUGGAAUGAGUGGAGGGGGUCCCUGUGGGCCCCAUAAGCUUGGUGGCCGCUGCCAGGGGGGAGGCCGCGGCUACAGGGCUUGUGGCCCACUGGUGUGGCCCCCAGGCCAGCUCUUAGUCCUAGUAUUUUUCAAAUAUUCCAGAAAAAAUCAUAUUUGAUUUUCAGGACCAUCGGAGAACUUUUAUUUUCGGGGUACUUUUCUCCGGGACGCUAAAACAGAAAACAGGAAAAACUAAACUAAAUCUAUCAUUUUUCUUCUAACCAACAGAAAGUGAAAGCUUAAAACAGAGGUUUGUGACUCUUUGAUUCAUCCAUCUCAUGGUCAUCAAAAGAAAUCCGCCAAUGGGGUUGAUCAAAUCCCCAUGACAAAACCUUUUCAAUUCGCAAAAGGAAAUGGAGAAUUGUCGAAUAGCCACUAAGUCACCUCAAUGGGAAUAUGAAUCUCCCCAACAAGCAAAUCAUACUUCAUCUUGACACGAGGAAUAGGGCAUUCAAAGCUCCCAAUAAGAAUCGAUGAAGUUUUUUCGAUAGCAUUGAUGCAAUGUACUUGAUACCGUUUCUUCGGAAAGUGCACUGUAUGCUCACUACCGUUGACAUGGAAAAUGACAUUGCCUUUGUUGCAAUCUAUAAUAGCCCCUGCAGUGUUUAAAAAGGGUCUGAUUUGGAUCCCUAUGUUUAAUGCUAUGGUUAGAAUUUAUUCUUAAUACUUUUCUCGUAGUUGCAGAUGCUUGUCGGAGGGUUAAUCAUAAGUGGGAGUCUUGUUCAAGUAAGAACAACACCCAAGCACCGGUCCACCCGCAUAUAAAAUUAUCAAAGUACCGAACGCGAAUUAACCCGACAUGACAAAAGAGACUAGAUGAAAUUCCCUUGUGCCCUCAAGAAUGCUUUGCCUAUUAUAAGAAACGGUUCCGUCCUGUCCUUUGCCACAAAAGGAUUGGGAUACAUUGCUGCACUUAUUGUUACUAUUGCUACUCGUUAAGAAAUAUCUUGCUAUCAAACAACUUGUUACCGCUAUUUCAGUGCUCACAGAAAUUACCUUGCUGAAAACCACUUGUCAUUUCCUUCCGCUCCUCAUUUAAUUUGACACUCUUACUUAUCAAAAGGACUAUGAUUGAUCCCCUAUACUUGCGGGGUCAUCAAGACUCUUUUCUGGCGCCGUUGCCGAGGAGUGAAGCGCCUUUGGUAAGGAAAAAUUUAUAUUACAUGCUGAAAUACUUGUCACUAUGGAAAGUAAUCCUUCGAGGGGCUUGUUUGGGGUAUCUUCACCUUGAUCGAAAACACCAAGACUUGUCCCUCAACCUGCCGAACCUACUCAAAUUUUUUAUUAUGAAAUUCCUUCAGGUAUGAUAGAGAAACUGCUAGCUAAGCCUUAUGAAGGAGAUGGAACAAAACAUCCCGAUAAGCACCUAAUCUAUAUGGAUGAAGUUUGCGGAUUAUUUAAGCUUGCAGGUUUAUCCGGAGAUGCAGUCAAGAAGAAUUUUUUCCCUUUAUCUUUGGGGGGGGGAAUCAUUGACAUUGUAUAGGCUAUGUGAUGAUACAAGACCUUGGAAUUGGAAUCGAUUGCAAUUGGAGUUUCACCAAAAAAAAUAUCCUAUGCAUCUUGUUCAUCGUGAUCGAAUUUUAUCUAUAAUUUUUGGCCUCAUGAAGGAGAAAGUAUCGCUCUAGCUUGGGGGAGGCUGAAUUCAUUGUUAUAUUCAUGCCCCAAUCAUGAGCUCCUGAGGGAAAUUAUUAUUCAAAAAAUUUAUGCUCGGCUUUCACGUAAUGAUCAAACCAUGCUCGAUACUUCUUGUUCUGGUUCUUUUAUGAAGAAGACUAUUGAAUUCAGGUGGGAUCUUUUGGAAAGAAAUAAACGCUACUCUGAAGAUUGAGAAAUCGACGAAGGUAAAGGGUGAGGUAUAAAACUUAAGUUUGACUAUGUUAAAUCUUUUAUGAAUACCGAUGCUUUCAAUGAUUUUAGUACUAAAUAUGGACUUGACUGUGAGAUAGUAGCCUCAUUUUGUGAAACCUUUGCUGCUCAUGUUGAUCUCCCUAAAGAGAAAUGGUUUAAAUAUCAUCCACCUAUUAAAGAAAAAGUUGAAUAACCAAUUAAAGUUCAGGAUGAACUAUCAUUUGUUGGGGAACGUCGCAUGGGAAACAAAAUUUUUCCUACGCGCACGAAGACCUAUCAUGGUGAUGUCCAUCUACGAGAGGGGAUGAGUGAUCUACGUACCCUUGUAGACCGUACAGCAGAAGCGUUUAGAGAACACGGUUGAUGUAGUGGAACGUCCUCACGUCCCUCGAUCCGCCCCGCGAACAAUCCCGCGAUCAGUCCCACGAUCUAGUACCGAAUGGACGGCACCUCCGCGUUCAGCACACGUACAGCUCGACGAUGAUCUCGGCCUUCUCGAUCCAGCAAGAGAGACGGAGAGGUAGAAGAGUUCUCCGGCAGCGUGACGGCGCUCCGGAGGUUGGUGAUGACCUUGUCUCAGCAGGGCUCCGCCCGAGCUCCGCAGAAACGCGAUCUAGAGGAAAAACCGUGGAGGUAUGUGGUCGGGCUGCCGUGGAAAAGUCAUCUCAAAUCAGCCCUAAAACCUCCGUAUAUAUAGGUGGGAGGGAGGGGGCCUUGCCUUGGGGGUCCAAGGACCCUCAAGGGGGUCGGCCGAGCCAAGGGGGAGGACUCUCCCCCCCAAACCGAGUUGGACUAGGUUUGGUGGGAGGGAGUCCCCCUUCCUUCCCACCUCCUCUUGAUUUUCUUCUCCUUGGCGCAUAGGGCACUUGUUGGCUGUCCCACCAGCCCACUAAGGGCUGGUGUGUCUCCCCAAAGGCCUAUGGGCUUCCCGGGGGUGGGUUGCCCCCCCGGUGAACUCCCGGAACCCAUUCGUCAUUCCCGGUACAUUCCCGGUAACUCCGAAAACCUUCCGGUAAUCAAAUGAGGUCAUCCUAUAUAUCAAUCUUCGUUUCUGGACCAUUCCGGAAACCCUCGUGACGUCCGUGAUCUCAUCUGGGACUCCGAACAACAUUCAGUAACCAACCAUAUAACUCAAAUACACAUAAAACAACGUCGAACCUUAAGUGUGCAGACCCUGCGGGUUCGAGAACUAUGUAGACAUGACCCGAGAGACUCCUCGGUCAAUAUCCAAUAGCGGGACCUGGAUGCCCAUAUUGGAUCCUACAUAUUCUACGAAGAUCUUAUCGUUUGAACCUCAGUGCCAAGGAUUCGUAUAAUCCCGUAUGUCAUUCCCUUUGUCCUUCGGUAUGUUACUUGCCCGAGAUUCGAUCGUCAGUAUCCGCAUACCUAUUUCAAUCUCGUUUACCGGCAAGUCUCUUUACUCGUUCCGUAAUACAAGAUCCCGCAACUUACACUAAGUUACAUUGCUUGCAAGGCUUGUGUGUGAUGUUGUAUUACCGAGUGGGCCCAGAGAUACCUCUCCGUCACACGGAGUGACAAAUCCCAGUCUUGAUCCAUACUAACUCAACUAACANNNNNNNNNNNNNNNNNNNNNNNNNNNNNNNNNNNNNNNNNNNNNNNNNNNNNNNNNNNNNNNNNNNNNNNNNNNNNNNNNNNNNNNNNNNNNNNNNNNNGACAAAUCCCAGUCUUGAUCCAUACUAACUCAACUAACACCUUCGGAGAUACCUGUAGAGCAUCUUUAUAGUCACCCAGUUACGUUGCGACGUUUGAUACACACAAAGCAUUCCUCCGGUGUCAGUGAGUUAUAUGAUCUCAUGGUCAUAGGAAUAAAUACUUGACACGCAGAAAACAGUAGCAACAAAAUGACACGAUCAACAUGCUACGUCUAUUAGUUUGGGUCUAGUCCAUCACGUGAUUCUCCUAAUGACGUGAUCCAGUUAUCAAGCAACAACACCUUGUUCAUAAUAAGAAGACACUGACUAUCUUUGAUCAACUGGCUAGCCAACUAGAGGCAUGCUAGGGACAGUGUUUUGUCUAUGUAUCCACACAUGUAAAUGAGUCUUCAUUCAAUACAAUUAUAGCAUGGAUAAUAAACUAUUAUCUUGAUACAGGAAUUAUAAUAAUAACUAUAUUUAUUAUUGCCUCUAGGGCAUAAUUCCAACAGUCUCCCACUUGCACUAGAGUCAAUAAUCUAGUCCUCACAUCACCAUGUGAAUUACAUUGUAAUAAAUCUAACACCCAUACAGUUCUGGUGUUGAUCAUGUUUUGGCCGUGGAAGAGGUUUAGUCAGCGGGUCUGCUACAUUCAGAUCCGUGUGCACUUUGCAUAUAUUCACGUCCUCUCCCUCGACGUAGUCGCGGAUGAGGUUGAAGCGUCGUUUGAUGUGUCUGGUCUUCUUGUGAAACCGUGGUUCCUUUGCUAAGGCAAUGGCACGAGUGUUAUCACAGAACAAGGUUAUUGGAUUCAGUGCGCUUGGCACCACUCCAAGAUCCGUCAUGAACUGCUUCAUCCAGACACCCUCCUUAGCCGCCUCCGAGGCAGCCAUGUACUCCGCUUCACAUGUAGAAUCUGCUACGACGCUUUGCUUGGAACUGCACCAGCUUACUGCACCCCCAUUAAGAAUAAAUACGUAUCCGGUUUGCGACUUAGAGUCGUCCGGAUCUGUGUCAAAGCUUGCAUCGACGUAACCUUUUACGGCGAGCUCUUCGUCACCUCCAUACAAGAGAAACAUCUCCUUAGUCCUUUUCAGGUACUUCAGGAUAUUCUUGACCGCUGUCCAGUGAUCCACUCCUGGAUUACUCUGGAACCUACCUGCCAUACUUAUGGCCAGGCUAACAUCCGGUCUAGUGCACAACAUCGCAUACAUGGUAGAACCUAUGGCUGAAGCAUAGGGGACGGAGCGCAUAUGCUCUCUAUCUUCAUCAGUUGCUGGGCACUGAGUCUUACUCAAUCUUGUACCUUGUAAAACUGGCAAGAACCCUUUCUUGGACUGUUCCAUUUUGAACCUUUUGAAAACUUUAUCAAGGUAUGUGCUUUGUGAAAGUCCUAUCAGGCGUUUUGAUCUAUCCCUAUAGAUCUUAAUGCCUAGAAUGUAAGCAGCUUCUCCUAGGUCCUUCAUAGAGAAACUUUUAUUCAAGUAACCUUUUAUGCUCUCCAAAAGCUCUACGUUGUUUCCAGUCAGUAAUAUGUCAUCCACAUAUAAUAUUAGAAACGCCACAGAGCUCCCACUCACUUUCUUGUAAAUACAGGAUUCUCCAACCACUUGUAUAAACCCAAAUGCUUUGAUCACCUCAUCAAAGCGUUUGUUCCAACUCCGAGAUGCUUGCACCAGUCCAUAAAUGGAUCGCUGGAGCUUGCACACCUUGUUAGCAUUCUUAGGAUCGACAAAACCUUCAGGUUGCAUCAUAUACAACUCUUCCUUAAGGAAACCGUUAAGGAACGCCGUUUUGACAUCCAUCUGCCAGAUUUCAUAAUCGAAAAAUGCAGCUAUUGCUAACAUGAUUCUGACGGACUUAAGCAUCGCUACGGGUGAGAAAGUCUCAUCGUAGCCAACUCCUGGAACUUGUGAAAAACCCUUUGCCACAAGUCGAGCUUUAUAAACGGUCACAUUACCGUCAGCGUCCGUCUUCUUCUUAAAGAUCCAUUUAUUCUGAAUAGCCUUGCGGCCCUCAGGUAGUAUCUCCAAAGUCCACACUUUGUUCUCAUACAUGGAUCCUAUCUCGGAUUUCAUGGUUUCUAGCCAUUUGUUGGAAUCUGGGCCCACCAUUGCUUCUUCAUAAUUUGCAGGUUCAUUGUUGUCUAACAACAUGAUUGAUAAGACGGGAUUACCGUACCACUCUGGAGCAGCGCGUGAUCUCGUCGACCUGCGUGGUUCAACAGAAACUUGAACUGGAGUUUCAUGAUCAUCAUCAUUAACUUCCUCCUCAACCGGCGUCGCAAUGACAGAGGUUUCCCCUUGCCCUGCGCCACCAUCCAGAGGGAUGAGAGGUUCGACAACCUCGUCAAGUUCUAUCUUCCUCCCACUCAAUUCUCUCGAGAGAAACUCCUUCUCGAGAAAAGCUCCAUUUUUAGCAACAAACACUUUGCCCUAGGAUUUGAGAUAGAAGGUGUACCCAACUGUCUCUUUUGGGUAACCUAUGAAGACGCACUUUUCCGCUUUGGGUUCCAGCUUUUCAGGUUGAAGCUUUUUGACAUAAGCAUCACAUCCCCAAACUUUAAGAAACGACAACUUUGGCCUUUUGCCAUACCACAGUUCGUAUGGUGUCGUCUCAACGGAUUUUGAUGGUGCCCUAUUCAAAGUGAAUGCAGCUGUUUCUAAUGCAUAACCCCAAAAUGAUAACGACAAAUCAGUAAGAGACAUCAUAGAUCGCACCAUCUCUAACAAAGUACGAUUACGACGUUCGGACACACCAUUACGCUGUGGUGUUCCAGGCGGUGUUAACUGCGAAACAAUUCCACAUUGUCUUAAGUGAGCACCAAACUCGAAACUCAGAUAUUCACCCCCACGAUCAGACCAUAGGAACUUGAUCUUCUUGUUACGAUGAUUUUCCACUUCACUCUGAAAUUGUUUGAACUUUUCAAAUGUUUCAGACUUGUGCUUCAUCAAGUAGACAUAACCAUAUCUACUCAAAUCGUCAGUGAAGGUGAGAAAAUAACGAUAUCCGCUGCGUGCCUCUAUGCUCAUUGGACCACACACAUCGGUAUGUAUGAUUUCCAACAAGUCACUUGCACGCUCCAUUGUUCCGGAGAAUGGAGUCUUAGUCAUCUUGCCCAUGAGGCAUGGUUCGCACGUGUCAAGUGAAUCAAAAUCAAGUGACUCCAAAAGUCCAUCAGCAUGGAGUUUCUUCACGCGCUUUACACCAAUAUGACCCAAGCGGCAGUGCCACAAAAAUAUGGCGCUAUCAUUGUUUACUCUAACUCUUUUGGUCUCAAUGUUAUGUAUAUGCGUAUCGCUAUCAAGAUUCAAUAUGAACAAUCCUCUCACAUUCGGUGCAUGACCAUAAAAGAUGUUACUCAUAGAAAUUGAACAACCAUUAUUCUCAGACUUAAAAGAGUAACCGUCUCGCAAUAAACAAGAUCCAGAUAUAAUGUUCAUGCUCAACGCAGGCACUAAGUAACAAUGAUUUAUGUUCAUCACUAAUCCCGAUGGUAGCUGAAGUGACACUGUGCCGACGGCGAUUGCAUCAACCUUGGAACCAUUUCCUACGCGCAUCGUCACUUCAUCUUUCGCCAGCCUUCGCCUAUUCCGCAGUUCCUGUUUCGAGUUGCAAAUAUGAGCAACAGAACCGGUAUCAAAUACCCAGGCACUACUAUGAGAGCCGGUUAAGUACACAUCAAUAACAUGUAUAUCAAAUAUACCUGAUUUUUCUUUGCCCGCCUUCUUAUCUGCCAGAUACUUGGGGCAAUUGCGCUUCCAGUGACCCAUACCCUUGCAAUAGAAGCACUCUGUUUCAGGCUUAGGUCCAGCCUUGGGUUUCUUCGGCGGAUUGGCAACAAGCUUGCCGCUCUUCUUCGAAUUGCCCUUCUUGCCUUUGCCGUUUCUCUUGAAACUAGUGGUCUUGCUCACCAUCAACACUUGAUGCUCUUUACGGAGUUCAGACUCUGCGACUUUUAGCAUCGCGAACAACUCGCCGGGAGACUUGUUCAUCCCUUGCAUGUUGUAGUUCAACACAAAGCCUUUAUAGCUUGGCGGCAGUGAUUGAAGGAUUCUGUCAGUGAUAGCUUCUUGCGGGAGUUCAAUCCCCAGCUCAGCUAGACGGUUUGAGUACCCCAGACAUUUUGAGCACAUGUUCACUGACAGACGAGUUUUCCUCCAUCUUGCAAGCAUAUAAUUUAUCGGAGGUCUCAUACCUCUCGAUUCGGGCGUUCUUCUGAAAGAUAAACUCCAACUCCUGGAACAUCUCAAAUGCUCCAUGACGCUCAAAGCGACGUUGAAGUCCCAGUUCUAAGCCAUACAAGACUGCACAUUGAACUAUUGAGUAGUCCUCCUUACGUGCUAACCAAGCGUUCUUAACAUCCUGAUCAGCCGUAGCGGGUGGUUCAUCUCCUAGCGCAGCAUUAAGGACAUAAUCCUUCUUCCCAGCUUGUAAGAUUAGCUUAAGAUUACGAUCCCAGUCUACAAAGUUGCUUCCAUCAUCUUUCAACUUAGCUUUCUCUAGGAACGUAUUAAAAUUCAGGAUGACUGUCGCGUGAGCCAUGAUCUACAACACAAAUAUAUUCAAAGUGGACUUAGACUAUGUUCAAGAUAAUUAGAGUUUAACUUAAUCAAAUUAUAUGCUAAACUCCCACUCAAAAAGUACAUCUCUCUAGUCAUUUGAGUGGUUCAUGAUCCACUUACACUAUCCCAAGUCCGAUCAUCACAUGAGUUGAGUAUAGUUUCAGUGGUAAGCAUCCCUAUGCUAAUCAUAUCAACUAUAUGAUUCAUGAUCGACCUUUCGGUAUCAUGUGUUCCGAGGCCAUGUCUGCACAUGCUAGGCUCGUCAAGCUUAACCCGAGUGUUCCGCGUGCGCAACUGUUUUGCACCCGUUGUAUGUGAACGUUGAGUCUAUCACACCUGAUCAUCACGUGGCGUCUCGAAACGACGAACUGUAGCAACGGUGCACAGUCGGGGAGAACACAAUUUCAUCUUGAAAUUUUAGUGAGAGAUCACCUCAUAAUGCUACCGUCGUUCUAAGCAAAAUAAGGUGCAUAAAAGGAUUAACAUCACAUGCAAUUCAUAAGUGACAUGAUAUGGCCAUCAUCACGUGCUUCUUGAUCUCCAUCACCAAAGCACCGGCACGAUCUUCUUGUCACCGGCGCCACACCAUGAUCAUCCAUCAACAUGUUUCCAUCGGGGUUGUCGUACUGCUCAUGCUAUUACUACCAAAGCUACAUCCUAGCAAAAUAGUAAACGCAUCUGCAAGCACAAACGUUUAGUAUAAAGACAACCCUAUGGCUCCUGCCGGUUGCCGUACCAUUGACGUGCAAGUCGAUAUUUCUAUUACAACAUGAUCAUCUCAUACAUCCAAUAUAUCACAUCACAUCGUUGGCCAUAUCACAUCACAAGCAUACCCUGCAAAAACAAGUUAGACGUCCUCCAAUUUUGUUUGUUGCAUGUUUUACGUGGUGACCAAGGGCAUCUAGUAGGAUCGCAUCUUACUUACGCAAACACCACAACGGAGAUAUAUGAGUUGCUAUUUAACCUCAUCCAAGGACCUCCUCGGUCAAAUCCGAUUCAACUAAAGUUGGAGAAACCGACACUUGCCAGUCAUCUUUGAGCAAAGGGGGGUUACUCGUAACGAUGAAACCAGUCUCUCGUAAGCGUACGAGUAAUGUCGGUCCAAGCCGCUUCAAUCCAACAAUACCGCGGAAUCAAGAAAAGACUAAGGAGGGCAGCAAAACGCACAUCACCGCCCACAAAAACUUUUGUGUUCUACUCGAGAAGACAUCUACGCAUGAACCUAGCUCACGAUGCCACUGUUGGGGAACGUCGCAUGGGAAACAAAAAUUUUCCUACGCGCACGAAGACCUAUCAUGGUGAUGUCCAUCUACGAGAGGGGAUGAGUGAUCUACGUACCCUUGUAGACCGUACAGCAGAAGCGUUUAGAGAACGCGGUUGAUGUAGUGGAACGUCCUCACGUCCCUCGAUCCGCCCCGCGAACAAUCCCGCGAUCAGUCCCACGAUCUAGUAUCGAACGGACGGCACCUCCGCGUUCAGCACACGUACAGCUCGACUAUGAUCUCGGCCUUCUUGAUCCAGCAAGAGAGACGGAGAGGUAGAAGAGUUCUCCGGCAGCGUGACGGCGCUCCGGAGGUUGGUGAUGACCUUGUCUCAGCAGGGCUCCGCCCGAGCUCCGCAGAAACGCGAUCUAGAGGAAAAACCGUGGAGGUAUGUGGUCGGGCUGCCGUGGAAAAGUCAUCUCAAAUCAGCCCUAAAAACCUCCGUAUAUAUAGGUGGGAGGGAGGGGGACUUGCCUUGGGGGUCCAAGGACCCUCAAGGGGGUCGGCCGAGCCAAGGGGGAGGACUCUCCCCCCCCAAACCGAGUUGGACUAGGUUUGGUGGGAGGGAGUCCCCCUUCCUUCCCACCUCCUCUUGAUUUUCUUCUCCUUGGCGCAUAGGGCACUUGUGGGCUGUCCCACCAGCCCACUAAGGGCUGGUGUGUCUCCCCAAAGGCCUAUGGGCUUCCCGGGGUGGGUUGCCCCCCGGUGAACUCCCGGAACCCAUUCGUCAUUCCCGGUACAUUCCCGGUAACUCCGAAAACCUUCCGGUAAUCAAAUGAGGUCAUCCUAUAUAUCAAUCUUUGUUUCCGGACCAUUCCGGAAACCCUCGUGACGUCCGUGAUCUCAUCUGGGACUCCGAACAACAUUCGGUAACCAACCAUAUAACUCAAAUACACAUAAAACAACGUCGAACCUUAAGUGUGCAGACCCUGCGGGUUCGAGAACUAUGUAGACAUGACCCGAGAGACUCCUCGGUCAAUAUCCAAUAGCGGGACCUGGAUGCCCAUAUUGGAUCCUACAUAUUCUACGAAGAUCUUAUCGUUUGAACCUCAGUGCCAAGGAUUCGUAUAAUCCCGUAUGUCAUUCCCUUUGUCCUUCGGUAUGUUACUUGCCCGAGAUUCGAUCGUCAGUAUCCGCAUACCUANNNNNNNNNNNNNNNNNNNNNNNNNNNNNNNNNNNNNNNNNNNNNNNNNNNNNNNNNNNNNNNNNNNNNNNNNNNNNNNNNNNNNNNNNNNNNNNNNNNNAAGCUUAGGAUCCCAAUGUGCUGGAAAGACUCCGACGACAGAGCGGACGAUGAUGACAGAGGAGGAGCCACCGACCAACCAGGCAUGGUGUAUGAGGUCACCAUCAAGUAUAGGGUAGUUUAGGGUUUUAGUUUAAGGUUUUUAGUUCACCAGAUGGAAUAUCGUUUGGUUUUAUGUACAGAUUAUCCUAUUUCAAAUGAAAUAGGUCGUGUUUAUAUCAAAAUUCGCUAGGUUCACACGAAUUUUGUUCGUUUGGUUCGAAUUGUUGUUAAAAUGUAUGCGGCUAUGGUUAGAUGGCAUCCUCCCUCAUCCGUGUCUACGCACUGAUCCCCCUGUCCGUGGACGGAUGCGGGAGGAAAUUUGAGGGUUGUCGAUGGACAUGCCCUUACAUGUUGCUUAUUGUGAUGAAAUAAUUUUUUUUGAAUGAAAUGCUAUUGAAUGUUCCUAUGGAUUGUGGGUAUGGGUUUCCGUGAGAAUGAAAACCCACAAAACUCUCAUUCCUCUCCCUCCCACGCAUAGACGAUUAGGGUCCCCUUGCCUCCCAUCGCGGUGGCCGCCGAUCGGCCUCGCUUCUGUUGCCUGCAGGCCAUGGAAGCGGGGUGGAUCUCGUCCCUCGUUGAUGGGAGGGCUCCAUUUUCCUGCUUUUAGGGUUAAGGUUUGGUGGGAUAACACUCAAAUGAUGGCGGCGACAUCUUGUUUAAUAUGGUCUUCCCGGCUUCAGCCUCAUCUUGGCGGCGAUGUCGAGAAGAUUGUGGGAGUUGUGUGGUUCUUGAGGACUUCUUCUGGCUAUGUGGAUAUCCUGAUCAUCAAUGAGCUUCAUAAACGAUUCUUCCUCCUUCAUCUCCGGAAAGAUGUGGUCUUCUUACCCGUUCGACGACUUCCCGCCCGCAUCCAACUACGUCAGGCCGACUCAAGAAGGAGCGGUAGUGCGGCACGCUGCCGACAUGGUCUAGAGGUUGAAGACGAAGGGCAUCUCAAGGAUUUCAUUAUAGUUUUCAUUUUUGUUGAGGUGCUUUGUACUGUCCGAUGUUUCUUUUAAUGCGAGGGUCCUAUUCGCAAAAAAACUCGUGCGAGGACGAGGAUGGAUUUUUUUAUCCUCGCGGAUGGGGGCAUGGACAGAGAUAUGCAUGAAGAGACUGUCACGAGGACAAUGAUGAGAGUCUAAUACAUGCCUAGAUAAUCCCCAUUGCCAACUUGACCGAGUAUCGAAUAAGGAAAACAACGAUGGCGGAGCCUUCCAUUCACAUACUUUUCAAGAUGGCAUGGAGUCCAUGCACGUGGGAUGCCACCCUUCCAUGAACAACGGCGACAGUCAUUUGAGUACAAAGGGCAAAGGCAGAAGUGAAAGGGUCAAACUCCUCUAUCGGGGAAAGACAGUAAGAUCUUUUUAAAAAAAAAUCACUUGUUUGAAACAUCUAAAAUGUAGAAAUGGCUACAAGAAGCAUUUUUGUCCAACAUUGAUGUUUUUUAAUUGGUCGACAAUAUGUCGCUAGAUUAUGGUUCGCGGACAUCUCAUCUGUAAUGGGAUCAACAUGAUUUAUUGGUAUUAUCAAAUAAUAUAAUUAAUUUGAAUGUGUGUGUGUCCUGGGUUAUACAUUUUGAAAGAAAAAAUCAGAAUAUUUUGGAAUAGAUAUAUAUAUUUUUCUUCUUAUUGAAAUAGAGGCAAAAGACAUAUGAGAAUGAGUUUAUCUUUCAUAGAUUUUUUUUAGUGUUGAUUGAUAUAAUCAUGCUUUUUUUUAACACUUGAUAUAAUCAUGCUUCACUUACUCCGAGCGUGAGUAGACAAAAGUACACGUACUGGCUUGUCACAAUAAUGCGAGCCCGAGAGGGCAAAUCUGCAAAAGAUGGCAGCUCAUGAGAAUCCCACAUUUUUAGUCAAGAUUCUCGCACUAAUUUAACCCGUGCGUACGGCCAUCGCCACUGCCCCCAUCCAUCUCCUUCGCUCGCUCGCACUGUCACACACACGACACACUCCACUGCCUGCCCUCGCUCCUCCCCCUCCCCCUCCCGCACGCUAGCUGGAGGCCAGCCCUUUAUAACCCGGCGAGGCCACGCUGCGGAUCCAAGCACUCCUCGAUCCCCUCGCCCCCUCCUCGAGAUCCGCUCGGAGCCGCGCCCCAGCUCCCCGGCCGGCGAGGUACGAACCCACCGACCGACUCCGCAUUGCCCGCCUCCCCCUCUUCCCGCCCGCCGGAGCGGAUCUAGCUCGAGCUUGUCCGUCCGUCUGAUUGGGUGGUGGUCUAGUGCACCGCUGUGCUAUGGCGUCCGCUACUAGUUGUGUUAGAUUGCGACCCAGCUCGGAGCCAGCUCUGCCCACAGAUCCGAUUGCGAUUCGCGCAAGGGAAUAGGGGGAUUUGCCUGAUUUUUUCCUUCAUUAAUGCACGCGCUUUGCAUCCAUGUUUGCAUGCUUGCCGAUAGAAGGGGAUUUGCUUGCCUUUUUCAUGGCUUUCCUCUUGGGAAGCGUCGCCUUGGUAGGGAACAUGAUACGGAAACGACACGCCUUUUUGGGAGUUAUAUCAUUGAGUUUUGUAAUGCUCUGCGGAUCCGGUGCUUCCUUCUUUAGAUCUGGUGGUUUGGUUGGUAGUAUAAAUUUCUAGUGCUCCGGGCUCUAACGAUGUAGUUUAAUUUGCUUUAGGUGCGCGCGGUGUGUGGCAGGAAGCAGCAAAGCUCUGCAACCUUUGGUGGAUCGAGCUGAUAUAAACAGGCCGCGUGCAGCGGGGUGGUCCUGUACAUGUGCUAGUGGGACUGAUGGCAUUCGGCCGAGGCGGGAAGAUGGACGGCAGGCGGCCCUCGUCGCCGUCUUCGUCGUUGUGCACGACGACCACCGUCGUGGUGUUUGUGGCGCUCUGCGUGGUGGGCGCCUGGAUGAUGACGUCGUCCACCGUCUUCCCGGUAGAGCCGACUUCAAACAAGAGGUCGGAGCCACUAGAGGUAUCAACAUCCAAUAAGAAGACGGAGGUCAAGGAUCAACGCGCAGAAGUUGGCUUUGGUGAAACCGAGGAGACGGCGACAUCCGGCAAUGCUGGCUCGGAGAAAUUCGAGGACACUGACAAUAAUGACAAUGUUCCAGAUGAGUCGCAUAGUAACAGGGAUGCUCCUGAGGAAGAGAAGUUCACUGAGAACACAAUGGAGAAGCCUGUGGAGAUGUCUGAAGAAAAGGAACCGCCAAAAGAAAAGGAGGACAGCAAGGAUUCCUUUGAUGAUGCGAAUGGAAAAUCCGAAGGGCAUAGUGCUAAGGAGGGUGGGGAGUCUGGCGAUGAGGAGGAGAAGAGCGAGGAGAGGAAAGAUAAGGAGACCAACACUGACAAUGAUGUUGAAAAAUCUGAUGGAGAGAAGAAGGAAGAUCAAGAAGGAAAGUCUGAGGAUGAUGCAACUGAACAGCCUCAAAUCGAGGAGAAAGUGGAAGAAAGUGGAGAGAAGGAACCAGCUGCAAAAGCUAACGAGGUAUUUCCUGAUGGAGCUCAAUCUGAACUUCUCAAGGAGUCGAAUACCGAGAAUGGGUCAUUCCCUACACAGGCCGCAGAGUCAAAGAAUGAGAAGGAAGCUCAAGCAGCAUCAAAAUCUUCAGGUGAUGAAAUCACCUAUAGCUGGAAAUUAUGUAAUAGCAGCGCUGUGACAGAUUACAUACCUUGCCUUGACAAUGAGAAGGCUAUCAAGAAGCUUCAUUCUACCAAACAUUAUGAACACCGCGAGAGGCAUUGCCCUGAGGAGCCCCCGACUUGCCUUGUCCCACUUCCGGAAGGAUAUAAGCGCCCCAUCGAGUGGCCCAAGAGCAGGGACAAGGUACUUCUGUCUUUUCAUGGUGUUUCCAUAACACCGAGUAAUCUUCGGUUGAUCAAUAUCCCCUUCUUGUGCUUAUUAUAAGUAACACUACUUUUGCAGGUAUGGUACAGCAACGUUCCUCACACCAAGCUUGCAGAGUACAAGGGCCAUCAGAACUGGGUUAAAGUUUCUGGGGAUCACCUUCUGUUUCCUGGGGGCGGAACUCAGUUCAAGAAUGGCGCACUCCACUACAUCGAUACUAUUCAGCAGGUUUAUUACCAUUGCCCCAAUUAUGACUUACUUCCAUACAUCAAAAGUUGAUUAAUAGUAUAACACAUACCUAAGUCUCAAGGGAAAUGUUUCCAUCACUCCUUUGAAGGAGUUUGCACAUGUUUCAGGACUCUGAUGAUGAAAUUUGCAUGUUCUUUUUUUGAAACCAAUAUUAUCACCAUAUCAUGGUGUCCGAAGUCUAUGCAUUUACAUGCUUAUCAAAUUACUAUGUGCAGGCUUUACCUGAUAUUGCAUGGGGUAAACGAAGCCGUGUCAUUCUAGAUGUUGGUUGUGGAGUUGCUAGCUUUGGUGGCUACAUGUUUGAUAGAGAUGUGCUUACCAUGUCAUUUGCUCCAAAAGACGAGCAUGAAGCUCAAGUACAGUUUGCGCUGGAGAGAGGAAUUCCAGCAAUAUCAGCUGUAAUGGGCACCAAGCGACUUCCAUAUCCUAGCAGGGUUUUUGAUGUCAUUCACUGUGCUCGCUGCAGAGUCCCUUGGCACAUUGAAGGUUUGUCUUGUGGUGGCAUGUUUACCCUUCGAUAUCUCCUGGUAGCUACCGUGUACUGUAUGAUAUGAAUACGGUUUACGACAACUGGUUACUUUCAGGUGGCAAGCUUUUGCUGGAAUUAAACCGACUAUUACGUCCUGGUGGUUACUUCGUCUGGUCUGCCACUCCUGUUUACCAAAAGCUCCCUGAAGAUGUUGAAAUUUGGAACGGUAUUCUACUGAACACCUCUUUUAACAUCACUCGUACCGCUAUACAGAACAUUGCUGCAAUAUCAAUGAACCGUACCAAAACUGUUGUUGUCCUCUGUUUCUUUAGAACAGUUCAAGUAGCUGUUCACUUGCUUUGGUACAUCAGGAAAAACUGUUGCGGCCUCUGAAUGGUUACGCCUGAUUUUCUAUAGAAAACUGCACCACAAUCCACAUACAGAGAAAUACACGUUGCUUGUAACAGAAGUUCAAAUGUUGUAAACUCUCUUUAAUUGUUCUUUUCAUCUAUAACGAAGGCUGACAGCCCAAGUUGUGCUUUAUUAUCACAAAUACAAUGAACCAUUGGUUAGCAUUAGAUGUGCCCAACUUCAUGAAUAUAGCAGACCUAUUUAAUAAAAUUAAUAAACACAUGCU